UACAGAGGUGGCAAGCGUUGUUCGGAAUUACUAGGCGUAAAGGGCGCGUAGGCGGUCAGGUCAGUCCCGUGUGAAAUCCCUCGGCUCAACUGAGGAACUGCACGGGAAACUACCUGGCUUGAGUUCGGGAGAGGGAAGCGGAAUUCCGGGUGUAGCGGUGAAAUGCGUAGAUAUCCGGAGGAACACCGGGGGCGAAGGCGGCUUCCUGGACCGACACUGACGCUGAGGCGCGAAAGCUAGGGGAGAAAACGGG
Molecule: ribosomal RNA, 253 nt
Filed under: uncultured bacterium
Lineage: Bacteria
Description: partial 16S ribosomal RNA
Rfam family: Bacterial small subunit ribosomal RNA
Source: RNAcentral